This 380-nucleotide ribosomal RNA is filed under the name marine Metazoa environmental sample. Its description in RNAcentral is "SSU rRNA". It matches the Rfam family "Eukaryotic small subunit ribosomal RNA", at positions 587 to 972 of the family's 1831-position model. The record is from RNAcentral. Lineage: Eukaryota; Metazoa.
AGCUCCAAUAGCGUAUAUUAAAGUUGUUGCAGUUAAAAAGCUCGUAGUUGGAUCUCGGGUCCAGGCCUGUGGUGCAGCUUAGGCUGCUUACUGCUCGUCCUGACCUACCUACCGGUUUUCCCUUGGUGCUCUUAAGUGAGUGUCUUGGGUGGCCGGAACGUUUACUUUGAAAAAAUUAGAGUGCUCAAAGCAGGCUUUCGCCUGAAUAUUAGUGCAUGGAAUAAUUGAAUAGGACCUCGGUUCUAUUUUGUUGGUUUUCGGAACUCGAGGUAAUGAUUAAGAGGGACAGACGGGGGCAUUCGUAUUACGGUGUUAGAGGUGAAAUUCUUGGAUCGCCGUAAGACGAACUACUGCGAAAGCAUUUGCCAAGAAUGUUUUCA